GCACGGGUGCCAGAGGUUAAUGGGCUGGUUUUAAGCGCCAUAUAUGGGGUUGUUGUUCCCCCCGUGUG
Molecule: transfer RNA, 68 nt
Filed under: Metagonimus yokogawai
Lineage: Eukaryota; Metazoa; Platyhelminthes; Trematoda; Opisthorchiida; Heterophyidae
Description: tRNA-Leu
Source: RNAcentral